Molecule: long non-coding RNA, 1121 nt
Organism: Phalaenopsis equestris
Lineage: Eukaryota; Viridiplantae; Streptophyta; Magnoliopsida; Asparagales; Orchidaceae
Exons: 3
Source: RefSeq, a predicted model, not a curated record
AAUAUUCAUCGGAUCUCGUCUUUAUGUGUCGUACUAUUAUAACUAUUGUUUUCUUGUCGCGAUUCCUGAGAAACCUUGUUCUCGCGAUUCCCUAGGUUCAGUGCCACAUUGCUAACCGAUCUCUCACUCUCACUCUACCUUUCUUCUUUUCUCUCUCCUCAUCUCUGUCCUCUCAUAUUUUAUCACCCAUCGCCCAUUUUUUUGAAGCCGUUGUCUCCAUUGACAAUCUUUGAAUCUCAUUGCUAUGAAUGGAAAGGUUUCUCGUUUGACAGCUAUGUUUACGAGUUCCAAGUGAUAUUUCACUCCGUUUUUCGCUCUUUCCUGUUGCAGAAAGCCUCGAGAUUCCACAGUGAAAGGGGACCGGUGGCGUUCGGGCAAGAUGAACUUUGAUUAUCUUAAAGAACACGUGGGCUCAUGAUUAUUAGUUAAAUUUGAGAUGUUUUUAUUCUCUAAUCGGAAAAUCUUCAUCCUGAUUCGUUUCAAUCGGGAAAACCCCUGUUCUAUGUAUUUUGCUGUGUGAGCGAUGGUAUUAGGCAGGGGAGAAAGGGAUUUUUAAGUGUUGGAUUCAGAUUGAGUGGGCUAAAGAUUAUUCAUAUAGCUUCCUUUCAUGUGUUUCGUUUGUAUUUCGUUCUUCGGCGGCGAUUGCACAUUUCUAAUUAUUACAGGAUUAUACUGACUGAUCCUAUGUUUUUCUAGGCCUAUUUGGCCGGCUUACAUGGGUUUGUUAUUCAUCGGUCAAUUGAACGGAUAUACUUUUAUUUGAAUUCCUAUCGACGAAAGCUGUUCUUUUCAUAAUCGUAUCUGUUCCUUGCUGAAGAGAUGGACGGGGCUGUUUUUAUUGCCAUAGCAGCCACUAUUGGAAACCUGUUGCAGGGUUGGGACAAUGCUACAAUUGCAGGAGCUGUUAUUUACAUUAAAAGAGAAUUUGAAUUACAGACAAAGCCUACUGUUGAAGGUUUAAUUGUGGCUAUGUCACUUAUUGGCGCUACAAUAAUUACUACAUGCUCAGGACCCAUUUCAGAUUGGUGUGGCAGGCGCCCCAUGAUUAUCUUGUCUUCAGUAUUUUAUUUUAUUAGUGGCUUGGUGAUGCUGUGGUCUCCAAAUGUUUACAUCUUACUCCU